Molecule: unclassified non-coding RNA, 587 nt
Filed under: Hevea brasiliensis (rubber tree)
Lineage: Eukaryota; Viridiplantae; Streptophyta; Magnoliopsida; Malpighiales; Euphorbiaceae
Source: RNAcentral
GGGAAGUAAGGCUUUGGAGGGAAUGAAAUUGGUGGGAAGUAAGGCUUGGGAGGGAAGGAAAUUGGGGGAAACUGGAAAGAGGGUUUGGGAGGGAAAGAAAUUGGGGGAAACUGGAAGGAAGGCUUUGGAGGGAAGGAAUAUGGUGGAAAAUUCCACGGCCACUUUGGAACUGGAGGGUAUUUGUGGUCGGGCCAAAAGAAUUCUGACGGGCAUGUGGUCGAGGAGAAGGGCACUUUGCCAGCAAUACUGAAUUUGUGCUUCCCAUUUUCCUUCGACUUCAGAAUGAUCUUGGAUGAGCUUGAAGCAUUCUCAUUAGCAGAGCAAGGAGCUCUCUUGGCACUUUGGAGCUCAACCAUGCAUUUAUCCUCCACCUUCCCAUCGUCUUGAGCAAGAUCACUCGGAAGUGGCACGUUGAAGUUCCCGUCCUUGUCGAGCCUGCCAACGCCCUUCGUCUUAUAUUCCCCCUUACUGUUCUUGCAUUUGACGGCUAAAUGAAGCCCUUUGAAUGCAAGUUCAUUCUUGAUGUUCUUCUCAGCACAGUCCCUGCAUUCUGCUGUGCCGACAAGAGUAACGGAGCCCUGAGUCUG